GCUCUCCUUCCUUCCAUCCAGAUCUGCCACAAUGUGGAAGAAUUUCAAGGAGAAUCUCUCCCAGAUGGCGUCCGAGGUGCUCGAGACGGUCGAGGAGCUCGAUCCGAAGGCGCAUCGCGAGGAGGACGAGGAGGGAGAUUCUUCGCCGGCGGUGUCUGGCAGCUCCAGAUCGCAGCAGGCCGGCAGAGGAUUCCACAGCCGGCGGAGAUCUGAGGAUGGUUUCCAGAAUUUUGAUCAUCGCUCUUGGAGGAAUCGGGAUUACAAGGAAAGGAACGGCGUGGGAGCAGACGAUUUCGGGGACUACGAGUCACGCUUGCUGGAGAGCCAGAGGAAGUGUCAGGAUCUUGCGAAUCGCGAGAAGGAGCUGCUAGAUCAAAUGCGGGGCAAGGAACAAGCGUUCCGGGACCUAGAUAACAGCCAUCGUAGUGCGCAGCAAGAGCUGGAGAGGCUUACGAUAGAACUGGAGAAAGCUCGUUUGGAGUUACAUAGUUUCCAACAAAGUGGCUGUCUGGGAAAUCAUGAUGAGAGGACUGCUACUCAACCAGAUGCUGAGAAACUACAAAGGGAGUUACAAGAGAGGGACGAAACAAUCAGUCAGCUUCGAGAAUCAAUAUCAGCACUGACGACCGAGCGCAGUCUCUUCCAGGCAGAAAAGGAACAGCUGAAAAAGGCUUUAGAUUCACGCGAGCUUGAACUGCAGCAGCAAGCUACUUCUGCAGAAAAAACGACGAGUGAACCAGAGGUUGUCCAGAUUGAAAUGUUGAGAGCUCAAGCUCAACAGGCGGAUGUCCUUUCAGUGCAACUGCGAACCGCGGAGGAAAUUCUCGAGAAUGAGAGGAACGACUUCAGAAAGAAGCUCGAGGCUGUCACAUUGGAGAAGGAUAAAGCUCUUAACAACCUCAACAGGUUAAAGCAGCACCUUUUGGAUAAGGAAAAUGCCGACUCAGAAAAAAUGGACCGAGAUAGCGAGCAGAUUGCUAUACUUGAAGGAAAAUUUUCAGCAACUUGUGCCCGUGUUAUACAGCUGGAGCAAGCGUUAGCGCAGGCUUUAUCUUCUCAAACUGAUACCAGUAAACGAUUGAAUGAAGAUUUGCAGGCAUCGAAGGUGGAGAUUGAAUCUCUAAAGUCUAAGCUUGUGAACUCUUAUUCCGUCUUGGAGGCUAGAGACAAGGAGAUAGCCAAUCUCCAAGUGGCACUUGGGCAGUACUAUGCAGAAACUGAUGCGAAGGAGCGCCUUCAACGAGAACUCAAUACUGCAAAGGAAGAUCUCAGGAAGUUUUCGGACAGUUUGGAAGCAGCAAAGCGGAUGGUUGAGGUAGUAGAAGCACAGAAGAAAGAAGCUGUAGAGAAACUACACAUCGAGGAACGACAAGGGCUUGAAAAUCAACAAAAAACACAGAAAAUGCAAGAAGACAUGAUCAGGUUACGCCGUGCUCUGGAAGAAAGCAUGAUCCGUCUAAACAGGAUGUCUUCAGAUUCAGAUUAUUCCGUAGACAGGCGCAUUGUCAUCAAAUUGCUCGUGACAUAUUUUGAGAGAGGACAUAACCGCGAGGUUCUUGAUUUAAUGGCCCGUAUGCUGGGGUUCUCCGACGAUGAUAAACGAAGGGUUGGACUCGCUCAUCAAAAUUCUGGGAAACCGGGUGUUAUGAGAAGCGUUUUUGGCCUCCCAAGGCGUGUCGUCGGAGGUAUCUUAUCUGGCGGUAAUGACAAUUCGUCUUUUACGACAAGCAAUGAUCAGUCAUUUGCGGACCUUUGGAUCGAUUUCUUGCUGAAAGAAUCCGAGGAAAGAGAAAAGGCUCAAAACUCAGGGUUGGGUGCAAGAAGCCCGCAAAGCGAUUUUCAUUCUUCAGCUUUUAACACCGGGUUUGAAAGUGAUGGUGGUUUAGAAGCUGACAUUUCAGGAGUUAGAGGCCACAGGAGGGUCUAUUCCAAAUCCUGAUAGAAAGUUUUCCAGUUGCUCUUGCAGCUCGAGGCAUCCGGAUGUUUUUUUCUUAUAUAUUCCUUGCCUGGAUAUGCAAAAUUAACUGAUUCGAUACAAUCGAUUUGAUUCUUUUGGCUCUCGUGCUCCAGUAACAAUUCCGGCUACGCAACUACCCUGCAAGAGAGAAUAAAACAGCGGUCUUGCAACGAG
RNA transcript from Selaginella moellendorffii, 2131 nucleotides. It is a transcript of the gene named golgin candidate 4-like, with no coding region annotated. NCBI's taxonomy places the organism in Eukaryota, Viridiplantae, Streptophyta, Lycopodiopsida, Selaginellales, Selaginellaceae. The transcript is spliced from 13 exons. The record is from RefSeq and is a predicted model, not a curated record.